This is a long non-coding RNA of Bos taurus (domestic cattle), 507 nucleotides long. The record is from Ensembl. Lineage: Eukaryota; Metazoa; Chordata; Mammalia; Artiodactyla; Bovidae.
CUGCUAAGUCGCUUCAGUCGUGUCCGACUCUGUGCGACCCCAGAGACGGCAGCCCACCAUUCGGGAAUAGAAAUAGAAUCUUCCCAGGUGGCUCAGUGGUAAAGAAUCCGCCUGCCAAGGCAGGAGAGAUGCAGCUAAAAAGAAUUUCCAAAGAUGAUAACCAAUGGACUUUUGUUGGAGAAAAACAAAUAGCAUGCCAGUCUGGACUGAUGUUGAAGCUGAAACUCCAAUACUUUGGCCACCUGAUGUGAAGAGCUGACUCAUUGGAAAAGACCCUGAUGCUGGGCAAGAUUGAAGGCAGGAGGAGAAGGGGACGACAGAGGAUGAGAUGGUUGGAUGGCAUCACCGACUCGAUGGACAUGGGUUUGGGUGGACUCCAGGAGUUGGUGAUGGACAGGGAGGCCUGGCAUGCUGCGGUUCAUGGGUUCGCAAAGAGUCAGACGACUGAGUGACUGAACUGAACUGAACUACCUCUCGAAGAGGCUCCCAGAAAUAACAAUGCUAUCC